UACGAAGGGGGCUAGCGUUGCUCGGAAUCACUGGGCGUAAAGCGCACGUAGGCGGAUCUUUAAGUCAGGGGUGAAAUCCUGGAGCUCAACUCCAGAACUGCCUUUGAUACAGCACGUCUUGAGUCCGAUAGAGGUGGGUGGAAUUCCUAGUGUAGAGGUGAAAUUCGUAGAUAUUAGGAAGAACACCGGUGGCGAAGGCGGCCCACUGGAUCGGUACUGACGCUGAGGUGCGAAAGCGUGGGGAGCAAACAGG
Molecule: ribosomal RNA, 253 nt
Filed under: uncultured bacterium
Lineage: Bacteria
Description: partial 16S ribosomal RNA
Rfam family: Bacterial small subunit ribosomal RNA
Source: RNAcentral